AUUAUUUUUUAGUCUGCGGUAAUUUAUAAAGGUCACGGAAAAGACGUUACACUUUUGAUGAAAGAUUUAAGUGGUUUCAACGCUGUUUUCAGAAUGUCAUCAAAACGCAAAAUUUAAAAAAAAUCGCCGAGAGACGAUGAAAUUAGUAAAUUCCUGGAUGAUAAUGAUGACGAUGAGACCUCUUUCGAUGAGUCUGUUGGUAGUGAUGACUUAUGUGUUCCACCAUAAGACUCACAUGAUAUCACUUUCACAUGUAUUGAUAGUUAUGCUUUGUUUGAACUACAAGACCCACUAAUGCAAGAAGACGCUACCCAUCCAAACCGAUAAUAGGAAACGUUGCAUUUCAUGCACAAAAAACAAAAAAGAUAGGCGCACUUACACCAAAUGUAGUGCGUGUAAUAGUUUUUUUUAUGUAAAAACUGUUUUAUAUCUUUUCACCUUUCUUGAUGCCCAUUUCUUCUCUCAGUAUUUAGCUCUCUGGUCCCGUUUUUUUUUUUAAUUUAUAUAAUUUUUUAUUGGCUUAAAAUACUAAGCUGACAUUUUUUUUAAAAUUACAUUCAAAAAAAUAGUCAAAAUAA
Molecule: unclassified non-coding RNA, 578 nt
Filed under: Melitaea cinxia (Glanville fritillary)
Lineage: Eukaryota; Metazoa; Arthropoda; Insecta; Lepidoptera; Nymphalidae
Description: misc RNA ENSMCXG00005020084.1
Source: RNAcentral